Molecule: ribosomal RNA, 443 nt
Filed under: uncultured Thermotoga sp.
Lineage: Bacteria; Thermotogati; Thermotogota; Thermotogae; Thermotogales; Thermotogaceae
Description: bacterial SSU rRNA
Rfam family: Bacterial small subunit ribosomal RNA
Source: RNAcentral
CCUACGGGAGGCAGCAGUGGGGAAUCUUGGACAAUGGGCGAAAGCCUGAUCCAGCGACGCCGCGUGGGGGAUGAAGCCCUUCGGGGUGUAAACCCCUGUUGCGAGGGAGGAAUAAGGCCUGGAGGAAAUGCCAGGCCGAUGACUGUACCUCGCGAGGAAGCCCCGGCUAACUACGUGCCAGCAGCCGCGGUAAUACGUAGGGGGCGAGCGUUACCCGGAUUCACUGGGCGUAAAGCGGGUGUAGGCGGCUCGGUAAGUCGGGUGUGAAAUCCCACAGCUCAACUGUGGAAUUGCGCCCGAAACUGCUGAGCUUGGGGCCGGUAGAGGGAGACGGAACUGCCGGUGUAGGGGUGAAAUCCGUAGAUAUCGGCAGGAACGCCGGUGGGGAAGCCGGUCUCCUGGGCCGCGCCCGACGCUGAGACCCGAAAGCUAGGGAGCAAACC